Molecule: non-coding RNA, 87 nt
Organism: Clavibacter michiganensis
Lineage: Bacteria; Bacillati; Actinomycetota; Actinomycetes; Micrococcales; Microbacteriaceae
Source: Rfam
GCACGCAUCGCGGGAGAGCUCCUCCGGGAGCACCGAAGGAGCAAGCCUCCCCGCCAAUCUCUCAGGUCCACGUACCGCGAUGCACUG